Molecule: non-coding RNA, 1169 nt
Organism: Phalacrocorax carbo (great cormorant)
Lineage: Eukaryota; Metazoa; Chordata; Aves; Suliformes; Phalacrocoracidae
Source: RefSeq, a predicted model, not a curated record
GCAGCGCGGCCGCCGCCGAAGGGACAGCCCCGGGGCGGUGUAAUGACCACCCGUUCCGCGGCCGGCGGCCCGCGGCCUGGCCGGGCCCCUCAUGAGGGGCAGCGGCGGGGCGGCGUGAGCAGCCCCGGCCGGGCCGAGAGGGAAGAGCCGUGUUCGCUCCCGGGCGGGCGUUGCCGAAGCCCGUCAGGGGGACGGACGGGUCUCCCCGCUCGACCUGAGGAGGAAACUACAGAAACUACAGUAAUACUCCUUGGGGGGGAAAACAAGUGCUGUCAUUGAAAAUACGGAAAACGCUGUUGGUUAGCCAGCUCAGGAAUCUCACCAGCAUGCAGGAUGCUGCCCUCUUCAAUGACGAGUGUUGGGAGAUUUCUUACAAGGGUCAGCAGAAAGGAAGCCAUAAGUCAUCCUAUUGUAAUGGAAAUACCAAAUAAUUUCCAGAAAACUUUGUAGAUGCGGCAAGGAUUAUUGGAGUCAUAAAUAGUAACAUACGAGCCUGUGACAAUGAAAGCUGAAAGAGGAAAAAUUAAUGAUUGGUGCGUCAGAAAUGUGCAUCAGGCAAGCGAACCCUGCAUUCCUGACAGAGAACGCUGUUCUCCUGUGCUGUCAGCUAGCAGAGCUGCUUCUACUUCUAACUCUCUGAGAGGAGCACUAGCUUCAGAAUUUGAAAGAUCAUACUGGACUGUCAAACUUCUUUGAUUUUAACAAUAUUUCAGGCACCGUGUGGGUUCACGGUAGGGUAACAUACAACUCACCACUUUGUCGUCUGUGGUGUGAUCUCACAACUGUUUUCUGUGUUUUCAAACCUGAGGGGGCACAUUCAGAACUCAGUUACAUGGCAGUAAAUACUGAGUAACUGCCCUGAAGUUAAUGGAAUUACUCCCGUCAGAACAAUGCCCACUUCCCUCACACGUCCUGUGGAAGGCAGGGGGCAACUGGUUUUCAUUUGAGAGAACGAAGAAAUUAUUCCUUUUGUUUUCCUUGGGGCUGUAGCUCAUAGUUUGGAAAGCUUGGAGUGGACCUGCUCCUUCCUUACCAUUUUGCAAAGACGAAGGGGAGCACAGCCCACCACUCAUUGCUACGCUGCGUGGAACGCCGCCAACGUCAUUUUCAGGGGUUCAUAGUCCAUGUUAUGUAGGUAUUUAGUAAAAGCUAGACAAACUCACCAGAUA